UAUCACGCGAGAAGCGGGCAGUCCAGAGCUGAAUGACACACAUGCUUAUUCUUUUCAGUAACCAACCUGCUAACGUUGCUUUUCUCCCCAAACUAUUCUUUCAAAGAUUGCCAGACACGAUCUAACACAUAAGGUUCUAGGAGCACCAGAUGAUUGCAAACUAUGGGGAAGAUAUCCUAAAGAAAAACAGGCCCUGUGAAGCUGUCAGUGAAGAAAUAACCCCUGAGGUCCCUGUAACUGCCAGUGGGUCCGAAUGCAAUUGCCAGACGACUUGAGACAUGGAAAGGUAUCUGCAUCCACAGGAAGAUGGUGUGCCUCAAAAUUGUCUCUAAACAGCAAUCAUUCUGGACCAGACAGCGUAAUCUGUAUGAAGUCUCAUGCUGUGUGUGCUUAACUUACAUAAAAUCAACUCUAUAUGCUUUGC
Long non-coding RNA from Prionailurus viverrinus (fishing cat), 424 nucleotides. RefSeq lists it as uncharacterized. The record is from RefSeq and is a predicted model, not a curated record. Lineage: Eukaryota; Metazoa; Chordata; Mammalia; Carnivora; Felidae. The transcript is spliced from 3 exons.